This 207-nucleotide ribosomal RNA is filed under the name uncultured bacterium. Its description in RNAcentral is "partial 16S ribosomal RNA". It matches the Rfam family "Bacterial small subunit ribosomal RNA", at positions 568 to 774 of the family's 1533-position model. The record is from RNAcentral.
UGCGUAGGCGGUCGGGUAAGUCUGAUGUGAAAUCUUCAAGCUCAACUUGGAAACUGCAUCGGAUACUAUUCGGCUCGAGGAAUGGAGGGGAGACUGGAAUACUUGGUGUAGCAGUGAAAUGCGUAGAUAUCAAGUGGAACACCAGUGGCGAAGGCGAGUCUCUGGACAUUUCCUGACGCUGAGGCACGAAAGCCAGGGGAGCAAACG